Molecule: ribosomal RNA, 303 nt
Filed under: Phyllocrania paradoxa
Lineage: Eukaryota; Metazoa; Arthropoda; Insecta; Mantodea; Hymenopodidae
Description: partial 16S ribosomal RNA
Rfam family: Archaeal large subunit ribosomal RNA (bases 1-162)
Source: RNAcentral
ACCUGCCCACUGAAUAUUUUUGAAGGGCCGCGGUAUUUUGACUGUGCAAAGGUAGCAUAAUCAUUAGUCUUUUAAUUAAGGGCUGGUAUGAAUGGUUGAAUGAGGUAAAAACUGUUUUAUAUUUAUUUUAGUUGAAUUUAGAUUUUAAGUAAAAAUACUUAAAUAAUAUUAAGGGACGAGAAGACCCUAUAGAGUUUAAUAAAUAUAAUAGUAAUUGGGUUAAUAAAUAAAUUUUUGAUUACUAUGAAUUUUAUUUAGUUGGGGUGAUUAGAAAAUAAAAUCAACUUUUCUUUAGUUUUAAUG